UAGUCCACACCGUAAACGAUGAAUGCCAGACGUCGGGCAGUAUACUGUUCGGUGUCACACCUAACGGAUUAAGCAUUCCACCUGGGGAGUACGAUCGCAAGGUUGAAACUCAAAGGAAUUGACGGGGGGCCCGCACAAGCGGUGGAGCAUGUGGUUUAAUUCGAUGAUACGCGAGGAACCUUACCUGGGCUCAAACGCAUAAUGACGUAAUUGGAAACGAUUAUUUCUUCGGACAUUAUGCGAGGUGCUGCAUGGUUGUCGUCAGCUCGUGCCGUGAGGUGUCGGGUUAAGUCCCAUAACGAGCGCAACCCCUAUCCUUAGUUGCCAGCACAUCAUGGUGGGGACUCUAAGGAAACUGCCGGCGCAAGCCGCGAGGAAGGUGGGGAUGACGUCAAAUCAGCACGGGCCCUUAUGUCCAGGGGCUACACACGUGCUACAAUGGUCGGUACAGAGGGCAGCUACC
Molecule: ribosomal RNA, 463 nt
Filed under: uncultured bacterium
Lineage: Bacteria
Description: bacterial SSU rRNA
Rfam family: Bacterial small subunit ribosomal RNA
Source: RNAcentral